This 464-nucleotide ribosomal RNA is filed under the name uncultured bacterium. RNAcentral describes it as "partial 16S ribosomal RNA". It matches the Rfam family "Bacterial small subunit ribosomal RNA", at positions 28 to 507 of the family's 1533-position model. The record is from RNAcentral.
GACGAACGCUGGCGGCGUGCUUAACACAUGCAAGUCGAACGGAAAGGCCCUGCUUGCAGGGUACUCGAGUGGCGAACGGGUGAGUAACACGUUGGUGAUCUGCCCUGCACUUCGGGAUAAGCCUGGGAAACUGGGUCUAAUACCGGAUAGGAGCCAUUUUUAGUGUGAUGGUUGGAAAGUUUUUUCGGUGUAGGAUGAGCUCGCGGCCUAUCAGCUUGUUGGUGGGGUAAUGGCCUACCAAGGCGGCGACGGGUAGCCGGCCUGAGAGGGUGGACGGCCACAUUGGGACUGAGAUACGGCCCAGACUCGUACGGGACGCAGCAGUGGGGAAGAUUGCACAAUGGGCGCAAGCAUGAUGCAGUGACGCCGCGUGGGGGAUGACGGCCUUCGGGUUGUAAACUCCUUUCGCUAGGGACGAAGCUUUUGUGACGGUACCUAGAUAAGAAGCACCGGCUAACUACGUG